AUGGAGGCUGCUGGGUGCUCUGUUAGUGCCCAGACCCACAGUGCUGGUGAAACGUGGGCCUUCGAAGUGCUGGAGGACCCCUUCCUCCUGGACACAGCAAAAUUCUCUGUGUUUGCAGCUGCGUGGUUUAUCUUGCUGCAAAGAUUUCAUCAAAAACUGAAGCAAGGCGUGUUGUGUGGACAGCAGGCAACUCCAAGACUCCGGAAGGGUCUGUGCGAAUGCGCGCCGGAGCCCAUCUCCGCAGCGAUGAGCAGGAGGCACAGUGCCCCAUUGCUCCCAGCGCUGGUAUUUGCCGGGGACAGGAUGCAAACCGCAGCACUCGGCCCCACCAGGAAUAUUGUUGAUGGUGAGCAAAAACUGCCCAGAUGUCCGAAGCCUGUUUGGCCAUUUGGAAGCUCUCCGCGUUCAUCCCCCAGACCUGCCCGCCGCUACCGGGAGCAUGCCUGGCAGUGUGACGGAGAGGAGGGAAAGCCCAUGUGUGGUCCUCGGGCUCUGGCAAGAAACAGCAGAGCAGAACACCAGGCUAUUGAUUGUGUGUUUGCUUUAAAAACAACCUAA
This 558-nucleotide long non-coding RNA is filed under the name Pavo cristatus (Indian peafowl). Its description in RNAcentral is "lncRNA (ENSPSTG00000003959.1)". Lineage: Eukaryota; Metazoa; Chordata; Aves; Galliformes; Phasianidae. The record is from RNAcentral.